RNAcentral lists this transfer RNA (60 nucleotides) under Walchia hayashii. Its description in RNAcentral is "tRNA-Met". Lineage: Eukaryota; Metazoa; Arthropoda; Arachnida; Trombidiformes; Trombiculidae. The record is from RNAcentral.
GAAGAAAUAAGCUAUAUAAGCUUCAGGGCUCAUAACUCUGUGAAACAAAAGUUUUCUUCA